AAGAUAUCAGGGCACUGGUCAGACAGGGGAAACCUUCGAGUCGCUGUCACUCUUUCGGACGUAGCAUUUCAUCACCCACCUAGGCAGCGUGUGCGCCAAACAGCAGCAUCCCCUGGAAUGGCCGCAGAAGCAGCACUGGGCCCCUAACAGUUCCAGACAAAAAUCAGGGAGUGAUAGGGCACCGGCAGUGUCUGGUCUUGGGAACCACACAUUUCACUCCCCACCAACUGACCCCACACUCUCAGCCCCAUGCCCCUACCCCAAGACUACCUGCUGGCCAGAUACUCCCAGACCUUUUCUCUUACUCAUUACCUCUCACCUGGGGAGGGAGCAAUUGAGGCUUUUAGUAACCUCAGUCAAUGUAAUGAUACAAACUUAUCGGUUGAAAAUAUGCAUAUUUAAAUUUCUUUUACGUCUAAAUGUUUUGCGAAUAUUGAACUAUAGAUAUUCCAUUGUAUUGUUCUGACUCAAUCAUCGUUUGCCCCCUAGCAACAAGUACCUUAUUCUAAGGGAAAGAAAUAGAUUCUACCGAGCAACUGGCCAAGAUGAAAGAUUUCCCACCUGACUUUCCGUAGCCCACCUCUCCCGGCCCUUUAAGCACCUACGACUGGCUUAAGAUGUCCCACUCCUCCCCUGGGCGGAGCCGACACCACACAACCCGGAUUCCCAACACCUCCCCUUCCUCUGACCUUCAGCUUCCACCCCCUCUGGGGAACAGGAGACACAGAAGAUGGAGGGAGGGAUGGCAGCCUACCCUGUGGCAACGCGGGAGUCGCGUUGCCGCAGGGGGCGCAUUGGGGUCCAGCCGUCCCCAGAACGCAGAUCAGAGGUAGUCGGACCUUUCCCGCUGGCGCGCAGCCUCAGCUAGGGCACACAGAGUGAACAGAAAAAGAGGAUACCUCUGCGAUCCCGGGUCAUCUCCAGAUGCUAGGGUUAUGGGAGGAACAUAGAGGAAAUGUGGUAUCUUAAAGAGCUGUCAUUCUCUUCCAAGCUGAAACUCAAGAGGCUUAGAAGUAUACCUGCAUCUACAGUAUACCUGCAUCUACAAGCCUUCUAUGGAGAGUUGUUCAGUCACUGACCAUGGGUCAUGUGCAAGGAG
Molecule: long non-coding RNA, 1099 nt
Filed under: Homo sapiens (human)
Lineage: Eukaryota; Metazoa; Chordata; Mammalia; Primates; Hominidae
Description: HSALNT0285582
Source: RNAcentral